RNAcentral lists this ribosomal RNA (465 nucleotides) under uncultured bacterium. RNAcentral's name for it is "partial 16S ribosomal RNA". It matches the Rfam family "Bacterial small subunit ribosomal RNA", at positions 339 to 795 of the family's 1533-position model. The record is from RNAcentral.
CUACGGGGGGCUGCAGUGAGGAAUUUUGCGCAAUGGGCGAAAGCCUGACGCAGCAACGCCGCGUGAGUGAUGAAGGCCUUCGGGUCGUAAAGCUCUGUCAAGUGGGAAGAACCUAUGUAAUGUUAAUAUCAUUAUAUACUGACGGUACCACUGAAGGAAGCACCGGCUAGCUCCGUGCCAGCAGCCGCGGUAAUACGGGGGGUGCAAGCGUUAUUCGGAAUCAUUGGGCGUAAAGGGCACGUAGGCGGCCUGGUAAGUCAGAUGGGAAAGCCCGGGGCUUAACCCCGGAAGUGCAUUUGAUACUGUCAGGCUUGAGUAUGGGAGAGGGAAGUGGAAUUCCUGGUGUAGAGGUGAAAUUCGUAGAUAUCAGGAGGAACACCGGUGGCGAAGGCGACUUCCUGGACCAAUACUGACGCUGAGGUGCGAAGGCGUGGGUAGCAAACAGGAUUAGAUACCCGAGUAGUC